Molecule: ribosomal RNA, 529 nt
Filed under: Penicillium chrysogenum
Lineage: Eukaryota; Fungi; Ascomycota; Eurotiomycetes; Eurotiales; Aspergillaceae
Description: eukaryotic LSU rRNA
Rfam family: 5.8S ribosomal RNA (bases 160-312)
Source: RNAcentral
GAAUGCAACCUCCCACCCGUGUUUAUUUUACCUUGUUGCUUCGGCGGGCCCGCCUUAACUGGCCGCCGGGGGGCUUACGCCCCCGGGCCCGCGCCCGCCGAAGACACCCUCGAACUCUGUCUGAAGAUUGUAGUCUGAGUGAAAAUAUAAAUUAUUUAAAACUUUCAACAACGGAUCUCUUGGUUCCGGCAUCGAUGAAGAACGCAGCGAAAUGCGAUACGUAAUGUGAAUUGCAAAUUCAGUGAAUCAUCGAGUCUUUGAACGCACAUUGCGCCCCCUGGUAUUCCGGGGGGCAUGCCUGUCCGAGCGUCAUUUCUGCCCUCAAGCACGGCUUGUGUGUUGGGCCCCGUCCUCCGAUCCCGGGGGACGGGCCCGAAAGGCAGCGGCGGCACCGCGUCCGGUCCUCGAGCGUAUGGGGCUUUGUCACCCGCUCUGUAGGCCCGGCCGGCGCUUGCCGAUCAACCCAAAUUUUUAUCCAGGUUGACCUCGGAUCAGGUAGGGAUACCCGCUGAACUUAAGCAUAUCAAAA